GAUGAACGCUAGCGAUAGGCUUAACACAUGCAAGUCGAGGGGCAGCAUGGUCUUAGCUUGCUAAGACUGAUGGCGACCGGCGCACGGGUGCGUAACGCGUAUGCAACUUGCCUCACAGAGGGGGAUAACCCGUCGAAAGACGGACUAAUACCGCGUACACUUGGGAUAGGGCAUCCUGACCCAAGGAAAUGAAAUUCGCUGUGAGAUAGGCAUGCGUCCCAUUAGCUAGUUGGUGAGGUAACGGCUCACCAAGGCGACGAUGGGUAGGGGAACUGAGAGGUUGAACCCCCACACUUGUACUGAGACACGGACCAGACUCCUACGGGCGGCAGCAGUAAGGAGUAUUGGUCGAUGGGCGAGAGCCUAAACCGGCCAAGUCGCGUGAAGGAUGACUGUCUUAUGGAUUGUAAGCUUCUUUUAUACGGGAAUAACAAGAGUCACGUGUGGCUCCCUGCAUGUACCGUAUGAAUAAGCAUCGGCUAACUCCGUG
This 490-nucleotide ribosomal RNA is filed under the name uncultured bacterium. Its description in RNAcentral is "partial 16S ribosomal RNA". It matches the Rfam family "Bacterial small subunit ribosomal RNA", at positions 28 to 507 of the family's 1533-position model. The record is from RNAcentral.